CCGCGUCAGUUUCCUCCUCAUUCGUGGCCAGCAAGCUUUAUCCCUUCUCGCGUCGUCGUCCUUCCCCCCCUCUCUCUCUCUCCACCGUUUGCCUCGGCGCCGCUUCGCUUUCCCGUGUUUCUCUCAGGUUCUGAUCUGAAUGAGAUGGUUUGCUGUUGGUUCAAUUGGAAAUUAGACAUGAUAAUUUUCUUCAUCGAAUCUUGGAUCCCCUUAAUUGUCCUUGUAGGUGACACUCUCACUGUCCGCAUUUGGGAGUUUUGAAACUCAUAUGGCUGAGGAGGGUCACAGGGUUACUUUGAAUGUGUAUGACCUGAGCCAAGGUCUUGCUUGACAGCUUUCCACAUCUUUCUUGGGAAAGGCGAUUGAGGGCAUCUGGCAUACUGGAGUGGUAGUGUAUGGUAAUGAAUACUACUUUGGAGGAGGUAUACAGCAUGCUCCUGUUGGGUCAACGCCGUAUGGUACUCCCAUUCUUGUUGUAGAAUUGGGUGUCACACAUGUGCCAGAAGAUGUGUUCGAGAUGUAUUUACAGGAGAUCAGUCCUUGAUACACAGCUGAAACAUAUAGCCUGCUCACUCACAAUUGUAGCAACUUCAGUAAUGAGGUAGCCCAAUUUUUAGUGGGUUCAACCAUUCCAGACUAUAUUUUGCAGCUUCCUAAUGAGGUCAUGAGUAGCCCAAUGGGUGCUUUGAUAUUGCCUAUGAUACAGAACCUGGAGACGACUUUGACAGCGGGAGCCGUUCCUCAACUUCCACAAUUUAGGCUUCCAUCCUCGACCCCCGAUGUUACCAAGUCCUUCGGCAGUACUCCUAGUGCACCUGUGAAGAAAACCAAAGCCACAGAUGUGGAUAAGAAACAGCAAUCUGGGGAGUGUGCUAAGGAGUCUAAGGAUGAAAAAGCCCUAGCUGCAAGUGAUUCUGCCGCUGCAAAAGUCGAUCCUGUACCAGGAGAUCCUCUGGGAGAUGCACGGAGCAAGGUGCAGGAGGAGAUUACUGCAGAAUUUGCGGCAAUCAUGGCAAGUGGAACGUUGCGCGCAAGUGAAGCCGCUGCACUUGCCACCAAGAGGGUGAUGCAAAGAUAUGGGCACAUGAACAUUGCGAUGUCGAGCUAAAAUGAACUGAAAAACAACGCAUCAUUAUUACUAGGAAAAAGUGUGUUUACAAAUGCAGUAGACACAAAGUGAUUGAUUAUCAUGAGACUGAAUUGGUCGGCUCCACCCUGAUGUAAACCGAUUUCAUUGUUCGAAUUAUUAACAGAGACGUUUUCUGCGUAUGCCUUCGAUUUUGAAAGCCAGAUUAGCGGGUGGAACACACGAAUGAACCUUGCAUUCGCACUUCGUGUUU
RNA transcript from Eucalyptus grandis, 1340 nucleotides. RefSeq lists it as hypothetical. The record is from RefSeq and is a predicted model, not a curated record. The transcript is spliced from 6 exons. Lineage: Eukaryota; Viridiplantae; Streptophyta; Magnoliopsida; Myrtales; Myrtaceae.